GACGAACGCUGGCGGCGUGCUUAACACAUGCAAGUCGAACGGAAAGGCCCUGCUUUUGUGGGGUGCUCGAGUGGCGAACGGGUGAGUAACACGUGAGUAACCUGCCCUUGACUUUGGGAUAACUUCAGGAAACUGGGGCUAAUACCGGAUAGGAUCUCCUGCUGCAUGGUGGGGGUUGGAAAGUUUCGGCGGUUGGGGAUGGACUCGCGGCUUAUCAGCUUGUUGGUGGGGUAGUGGCUUACCAAGGCUUUGACGGGUAGCCGGGCUGAGAGGGUGACCGGCCACAUUGGGACUGAGAUACGGCACAGACUCCUACGGGAGGCAGCAGUGGGGAAUAUUGCACAAUGGGAGGAAGCCUGAUGCAGCAACGCCGCGUGCGGGAUGACGGCCUUCGGGUUGUAAACCGCUUUCGCCUGUGACGAAGCGUGAGUGACGGUAAUGGGUAAAGAAGCACCGGCUAACUACGUG
This 468-nucleotide ribosomal RNA is filed under the name uncultured bacterium. RNAcentral's name for it is "partial 16S ribosomal RNA". It matches the Rfam family "Bacterial small subunit ribosomal RNA", at positions 28 to 507 of the family's 1533-position model. The record is from RNAcentral.